Molecule: ribosomal RNA, 387 nt
Filed under: uncultured Glomus
Lineage: Eukaryota; Fungi; Glomeromycota; Glomeromycetes; Glomerales; Glomeraceae
Description: SSU rRNA
Rfam family: Eukaryotic small subunit ribosomal RNA
Source: RNAcentral
AGCAGCCGCGGUAAUUCCAGCUCCAAUAGCGUAUAUUAAAGUUGUUGCAGUUAAAAAGCUCGUAGUUGAAUUUCGGGAUCAUUAGGUUGGUCGUGCCCCCGGUAUGUACUGAUCUCGGUGGUUCCUACUUCUUGAAGAACCGUAAUGCCAUUAAUUUGGUGUUGCGGGGAAACAGGACUGUUACUUUGAAAAAUUAGAGUGUUUAAAGCAGGCAAUCGCUUGAAUACAUUAGCAUGGAAUAAUGAAAUAGGACGUUCGAUCCUAUUUUGUUGGUUUCUAGGAUUGACGUAAUGAUUAAUAGGGAUAGUUGGGGGCAGUUAGUAUUCGAAUUGUCAGAGGUGAAAUUCUUGGAUUUAUUGAAGACUAACUACUGCGAAAGCAUUUGCC